AUUGAACGCUGGCGGCAUGCUUUACACAUGCAAGUCGGACGGCAGCACAGAGAAGCUUGCUUCUUGGGUGGCGAGUGGCGAACGGGUGAGUAAUAUAUCGGAACGUACCGAGCAGUGGGGGAUAACUAAUCGAAAGAUUAGCUAAUACCGCAUAUAUUCUGAGGAAGAAAGCAGGGGACCAUUUGGCCUUGCGCUGUUUGAGCGGCCGAUAUCUGAUUAGCUAGUUGGUGGGGUAAAGGCCUACCAAGGCGACGAUCAGUAGCGGGUCUGAGAGGAUGAUCCGCCACACUGGGACUGAGACACGGCCCAGACUCCUACGGGAGGCAGCAGUGGGGAAUUUUGGACAAUGGGCGCAAGCCUGAUCCAGCCAUGCCGCGUGUCAGAAGAAGGCCUUCGGGUUGUAAAGGACUUUUGUCAGGGAAGAAAAGGGCGGGGUUAAUACCCCUGUCUGAUGACGUACCUGGAGAUAGCCCCGCA
This 477-nucleotide ribosomal RNA is filed under the name Neisseria mucosa. RNAcentral's name for it is "bacterial SSU rRNA". It matches the Rfam family "Bacterial small subunit ribosomal RNA", at positions 30 to 497 of the family's 1533-position model. The record is from RNAcentral. Lineage: Bacteria; Pseudomonadati; Pseudomonadota; Betaproteobacteria; Neisseriales; Neisseriaceae.